Molecule: ribosomal RNA, 409 nt
Filed under: Fusobacteriota bacterium
Lineage: Bacteria; Fusobacteriati; Fusobacteriota
Description: Fusobacteria bacterium partial 16S ribosomal RNA
Rfam family: Bacterial small subunit ribosomal RNA
Source: RNAcentral
UGGGGAAUAUUGCACAAUGGAGGGAACUCUGAUGCAGCAACGCCGCGUGCGGGAUGACGGCCUUCGGGUUGUAAACCGCUUUCAGCCAUGACGAAGCUUUUGUGACGGUAGUGGUAGAAGAAGCACCGGCUAACUACGUGCCAGCAGCCGCGGUGAUACGUAGGGUGCGAGCGUUGUCCGGAAUUAUUGGGCGUAAAGAGCUUGUAGGCGGUUUGUCGCGUCGAAAGUGUAAACUCAGUGCUUAACGCUGAGCCUGCUUUCGAUACGGGCUGACUAGAGGAGGGUAGGGGAGAAUGGAAUUCCCGGUGGAGCGGGGGAAUGCGCAGAUAUCGGGAGGAACACCAGUGGCGAAGGCGGUUCUCUGGACCUUUCCUGACGCUGAGAAGCGAAAGCGUGGGUAGCAAACAGG